This 775-nucleotide ribosomal RNA is filed under the name uncultured Neocallimastigales. RNAcentral's name for it is "partial large subunit ribosomal RNA". It matches the Rfam family "Eukaryotic large subunit ribosomal RNA", at positions 24 to 647 of the family's 3401-position model. Lineage: Eukaryota; Fungi; Neocallimastigomycota; Neocallimastigomycetes; Neocallimastigales. The record is from RNAcentral.
CGUGUCGCGCAUAUCUGCAUAUCAAUAAGCGGAGGAAAAGAAACUAACAAGGAUUCCCUUAGUAACGGCGAGUGAAGCGGGAAGAGCUCAGAUUUGAAAUCUUCAAGGUUCUACCUUGACGAAUUGUAGUUUAAAGAAGUGUUUUCUGUUAGAUGAGUAGCAAAAGUUCCUUGGAAUGGGACAUCAUAGAGGGUGAGAAUCCCGUAUUUGGUUAUUCAUUCUAGCUUUGUGAUACACUUUCAAAGAGUCGGAUUGUUUGGGAAUGCAGUCCAAAAUGGGUGGUAAAUUUCAUCUAAAGCUAAAUAUUGGCGAGAGACCGAUAGCGAACAAGUACCGUGAGGGAAAGAUGAAAAGAACUUUGAAAAGAGAGUUAAACAGUACGUGAAAUUGUCAAAAUGGGAAGCGUUUGACACCAGUGUUGUUUUUCCGAAAAUCAAUUACGAAUGGCUUGAUUUUGUGUUGUAUUGACCUUAUCAGCUUUCUGCACUUUUUUCGAGUCUUUCUUAAUGCACUUUUCGGUUAACAAGUCAACAUCAAUUUCUUUUGUUGUAAAAGAGUAUUCGGAAGGUGGCCUUCUUUUCGGAGAAAGUGUUUAUAGCCCUAUACUUCUACAAUCGGAGAGAUUGAGGUCUGCAGCGUAGAUCCUUCGGGGUUAGAUACACUUGUGCUAAGUUGUAGCUUUUCAUAGACAACUUGUUGACUAUGUUUAGUCAUGCGGCUUACUCGCUUGUGCUAUUUUACCUACGCUUAGGAUGUUGACGAUCAGCUGAGCGCG